CCCUUAGAUGUUCUGGGCCGCACGCGCGCUACACUGAUGAAUUCAACGAGCUCCUAACCUAGGCCGAAGGGUCCGGGUAAUCUUUGUAAUUUCAUCGUGAUGGGGAUAGAUUAUUGCAAUUAUUAAUCUUCAACGAGGAAUUCCUAGUAAGCGCGAGUCAUCAGCUCGCGUUGAUUACGUCCCCGCCCUUUGUACACACCGCCCGUCGCUCCUACCGAUUGAAUGGUCCGGUGAAAUGUUCGGAUCGCGGCAAAUCGGACGGGUAACCGUCAGGUUCGCUGCGAGAAGUUCAUUAAACCUUAUCAUUUAGAGGAAGGAGAAGUCGUAACA
RNAcentral lists this ribosomal RNA (330 nucleotides) under uncultured eukaryote. RNAcentral describes it as "partial 18S ribosomal RNA". It matches the Rfam family "Eukaryotic small subunit ribosomal RNA", at positions 1470 to 1796 of the family's 1831-position model. The record is from RNAcentral.